UCUCCGUUGGUGAACCAGCGGAGGGAUCAUUACCGAGUUUACAACUCCCAAACCCCUAUGUGAACGUUACCAAACUGUUGCCUCGGCGGGAAAAUCAUGCCCCGGGCGCGUCGCAGCCCCGGACCCAGGCGCCCGCCUGAGGACCCACCAAAACUCUUUUUUAUGUCCCUCGCGGCCUUUUAUAAUUCUGAACCAUCUCGGCGCCCCUAGCGGGCGUUUCGAAAUUGAAUCAAAACUUUCAACAACGGAUCUCUUGGUUCUG
Molecule: unclassified non-coding RNA, 262 nt
Filed under: plant metagenome
Description: partial contains small subunit ribosomal RNA, internal transcribed spacer 1, and 5.8S ribosomal RNA
Source: RNAcentral